This 254-nucleotide ribosomal RNA is filed under the name uncultured bacterium. RNAcentral describes it as "partial 16S ribosomal RNA". It matches the Rfam family "Bacterial small subunit ribosomal RNA", at positions 524 to 776 of the family's 1533-position model. The record is from RNAcentral.
UACGUAGGGGGCAAGCGUUGUCCGGAUUUAUUGGGCGUAAAGAGCUCGUAGGCGGCUCGGUAAGUCGGAUGUGAAACCUCCAGGCUCAACCUGGAGACGCCAUCUGAUACUGCCGUGGCUUGAGUCCGGUAGAGGAGCAGGGAAUUCCUGGUGUAGCGGUGAAAUGCGCAGAUAUCAGGAGGAACACCAGCGGCGAAGGCGGGUCUCUGGGCCGAUACUGACGCUGAGGAGCGAAAGCGUGGGGAGCGAACAGG